AUCUAUGGCCAUGCCAUCCUGAACAAGCCCGAUCCUGUCUGAGGAAGCUAAGCAGGGUCGGGCCUGGUUAGUACUUGGAUGGGAGACCACCUAGGAAGACCAGGUGCUGUAGGCA
RNAcentral lists this ribosomal RNA (115 nucleotides) under Pteropus alecto (black flying fox). Lineage: Eukaryota; Metazoa; Chordata; Mammalia; Chiroptera; Pteropodidae. The record is from RNAcentral.